UAGCACGCGAAAUAUUAUUGCGAUUAUAAUAAUAAUUAGGUAUAUUAACAGACCUUGAAACGAAAACUGUACAGAUAUAAUUCCGCAUUUUGAAAUUGCACUCCGGAGAAAUAGGAAAAACAUUUAUUCUUUUUUAAAUUUAUUCGGAUUUAACUUACAAAUUAUUGUACGUUGGCGGAAAUCCGAUUCUUUUUUUGCUUUCAAAGGAGGAGCU
Non-coding RNA from Cinara cedri, 214 nucleotides. The record is from the annotation of a GenBank genome assembly. NCBI's taxonomy places the organism in Eukaryota, Metazoa, Arthropoda, Insecta, Hemiptera, Aphididae.